AGAACGAACGCUGGCGGCAUGCCUAAUACAUGCAAGUCGAACGAAUGCCCUUCGGGGUGUUAGUGGCGCACGGGUGCGUAACGCGUGGGAAUCUGCCCUUGGGUUCGGAAUAACAGUUAGAAAUGACUGCUAAUACCGGAUGAUGACGUAAGUCCAAAGAUUUAUCGCCCAGGGAUGAGCCCGCGUAGGAUUAGCUAGUUGGUGGGGUAAAGGCCUACCAAGGCGACGAUCCUUAGCUGGUCUGAGAGGAUGAUCAGCCACACUGGGACUGGAGACGACGGCCCAGACUCCGUACGGGAGCAGC
This 304-nucleotide ribosomal RNA is filed under the name uncultured soil bacterium. Its description in RNAcentral is "bacterial SSU rRNA". It matches the Rfam family "Bacterial small subunit ribosomal RNA", at positions 26 to 352 of the family's 1533-position model. The record is from RNAcentral.